Molecule: small RNA, 113 nt
Filed under: Marmota monax (woodchuck)
Lineage: Eukaryota; Metazoa; Chordata; Mammalia; Rodentia; Sciuridae
Source: RNAcentral
GCUAGUCCAGGCUGUGCACUGUAGUCCCAGCUACCAGGAGGCUGAGGCAGGAGGAUUGCUGGGGUCCAGGGAUGUGAGGCCAGCCUGGGUAAUAUAGCAAGGCUCUGUCUCCA